Molecule: ribosomal RNA, 253 nt
Filed under: uncultured bacterium
Lineage: Bacteria
Description: partial 16S ribosomal RNA
Rfam family: Bacterial small subunit ribosomal RNA
Source: RNAcentral
UACAGAGGGUGCAAACGUUGCUCGGAAUCAUUGGGCGUAAAGCGCGUGUAGGCGGCACGGUAAGUCAGCUGUGAAAGCCCUUGGCUCAACCGAGGAAGUGCAGCUGAAACUGCCGAGCUAGAGUGCUGAAGAGGGUGGCGGAAUGCGCAGUGUAGAGGUGAAAUUCGUAGAUAUUGCGUAGAACACCAGUGGCGAAGGCGGCCACCUGGGAAGCUACUGACGCUAAGACGCGAAAGCAUGGGGAGCAAACAGG